AUAUAUGAUCUCUGGUUGUUUUGUGAUCCCAGGAUCUACUGAGAUGUAUAGCAUAAGAAGUUAUACACAUCCUGGAUUUUGUAAGUUUCCCAGCUUCUCCAUUGUUCUUGAGUAUCAUUUUUCAGGGCAAUCAUAAAAAUGGGCAGGGCAUGAAGCAUUGCACUUCUAAAACUUGCAAAUCUGAAACCUGGAUUUCCAAACAUAUCAGAGAAAGAAGAAAAACAGGUCCUCACUGCCCUAUAGGACAAACCAGAACACGACGGCCAGGAUUCAGCUCCUAACCAAUCAAAUAGAGGAUUCAAAAAUACCCAAUCAAGAGGAGGAUUGAAAAACAGACUCUUCUGAAUGGACAAAGGGAGAAUAUGGGAGGGAACAACAUGGGAAUAUAAGUCAGACUAGCAACGGCACCCUCUUCCGGGUCCCCUUCCACCACGUGGAAGCUUUACUUUUGGUUUGCUCAAUAAAC
Homo sapiens (human) is the source of this 466-nucleotide long non-coding RNA. The record is from Ensembl. Lineage: Eukaryota; Metazoa; Chordata; Mammalia; Primates; Hominidae.